UUCAUAUGCAUAGAUUGUGGAUGAGUUCCUGUAGGUUAUUGACAUGAAUAUGGUUUCAUAUUUUAGCUCAUAUUUUGGUUCUCUUUAGGGCCUGGCUUUGAUACACGCAUUGGCAUUCCCGCCAUCGCCAUUGCCUUCGCCAUUAGUGUUAUCAUCAUCGUUUAUAUUCGAAAAUACCAAAAGAAAAAAUGUUCUUACAGUGUAAAUCGGGAUUCCUCAAAGCAUCAAAUUACCAUGGAACACGAUUUCCAUAUGAAUGAAUCAAAACGUAAUUUGAUCUUCAAAGGUAUAUAUUUUUAUAGAAAAAUAUUUUCCUGUACCCAAAAGUAUGCAGGUGGUGUGGUGGUUUUCUGAUUAAAUAUCAGAGAGUAGGGUAGAAGUUUACAAUAUUAAAUACAAAU
RNAcentral lists this long non-coding RNA (401 nucleotides) under Gopherus evgoodei (Goodes thornscrub tortoise). RNAcentral describes it as "lncRNA (ENSGEVG00005003010.1)". The record is from RNAcentral. Lineage: Eukaryota; Metazoa; Chordata; Testudines; Testudinidae.